Molecule: microRNA precursor, 135 nt
Filed under: Gossypium arboreum
Lineage: Eukaryota; Viridiplantae; Streptophyta; Magnoliopsida; Malvales; Malvaceae
Description: MIR7502 microRNA precursor family
Rfam family: MIR7502 microRNA precursor family
Source: Rfam by way of RNAcentral
AAAAAUUUAUCUAUUUGUACUAUUAAAAAUUGAUGUGGUUAACAAAAUAACCAAAUAGUAACAUAUGACGUGCCAUGUACACCUCAUGCUAACGUAUAAGGACCAAUUUUUAACAGCAGAAAUAUAUGAAAUUUU